UAGCUCAGUUGGUAGAGCAUGGCACUUGGAAUGCCAGAGCAAUGGGUUCAAUUCCCAG
Molecule: transfer RNA, 58 nt
Filed under: Salmo salar (Atlantic salmon)
Lineage: Eukaryota; Metazoa; Chordata; Actinopteri; Salmoniformes; Salmonidae
Rfam family: tRNA
About the family: Transfer RNA (tRNA) molecules are approximately 80 nucleotides in length. Their secondary structure includes four short double-helical elements and three loops (D, anti-codon, and T loops). Further hydrogen bonds mediate the characteristic L-shaped molecular structure. tRNAs have two regions of fundamental functional importance: the anti-codon, which is responsible for specific mRNA codon recognition, and the 3' end, to which the tRNAs corresponding amino acid is attached (by aminoacyl-tRNA synthetases). tRNAs cope with the degeneracy of the genetic code in two manners: having more than one tRNA (with a specific anti-codon) for a particular amino acid; and 'wobble' base-pairing, i.e. permitting non-standard base-pairing at the 3rd anti-codon position.
Source: Rfam by way of RNAcentral